AUUUUCUCUCACUUCCUGCAUGCAUAAAAUUACAGGUGGUCUGAGGAAGCGCCUCUCAUGGCAUGAACAAGCUGUCAACUUUAAUGUGUUCAGCAACCAAGUCCAUUCCAGGUCCCUCUAAGGCUAAAUGUCUUUUUGUACAAUAUAAGAAGUUGUUUUGCACAGUUGCUGGGAGUUUGACAAUGGACACAGCAAAAUGGCUCAAGAAUUCAUGACCUCAGCUGGUGGUCUUUAAGUGAUCAACAUCUGUCAAGAGAUUCUAUAAGCCUCGGUCAGUCAAGAAGACUUUUGAAAG
Long non-coding RNA from Hyla sarda, 295 nucleotides. RefSeq lists it as uncharacterized. Lineage: Eukaryota; Metazoa; Chordata; Amphibia; Anura; Hylidae. The record is from RefSeq and is a predicted model, not a curated record. The transcript is spliced from 3 exons.